Molecule: ribosomal RNA, 541 nt
Filed under: uncultured archaeon
Lineage: Archaea
Description: bacterial SSU rRNA
Rfam family: Archaeal small subunit ribosomal RNA
Source: RNAcentral
AUGCUAGUUGUACGAGCUUACACUCGUAGCAAAUAGCUCCGUAACACGUGGCCAAACCACCCUACAGAGAACAAUAACCUCGGGAAACUGAGGCUAAUAGUUCAUACCCGUCUCACGCUGGAAUGCCAAGACGCGCAAACGUUCCGACGCUGUAGGACGUGGCUGCGGCCGAUUAGGUUGACGGUGGGGUAACGGCCCACCGUGCCGAUAAUCGGUACGGGUUGUGAGAGCAAGAACCCGGAGACGGAAUCUGAGACAAGAUUCCGGGCCCUACGGGGCGCAGCAGGCGCGAAACCUUUACACUGCACGCAAGUGCGAUAAGGGGACCCCGAGUGCGAGGGCAUACAGUCCUCGCUUUUCAGUACCGUAGGGAGGUACUGGAAUAAGAGCUGGGCAAGACCGGUGCCAGCCGCCGCGGUAAUACCGGCAGCUCGAGUGAUGGCCGAUCUUAUUGGGCCUAAAGCGUUCGUAGCCGGCCACGCAAGUUCAUCGGGAAAUCCGCCAGCCUAACUGGCGGGCGUCCGGUGAAAACUGCGUGGCU